Molecule: long non-coding RNA, 1243 nt
Organism: Gasterosteus aculeatus aculeatus (three-spined stickleback)
Lineage: Eukaryota; Metazoa; Chordata; Actinopteri; Perciformes; Gasterosteidae
Source: Ensembl
GGGGCUGGCGGCCCUCUCCUCAACACAUGCCCACCACCGUACCCUGCUUCAUCUGCGAACCAGCAACCUCCGUCUGCAGGAGCACAUAUCAAAGUUCACUACACCCGGCAGAGGGAGGAAAAGGAAGCGGCAGUGAAAGCAGCACAGGAACGACUCCUUGGCGAAGAGGAGGAAAAGAGACAGGCUGCUCUCCCCACUCGCUCUCGCUCUCCAGGAGAAACCGGAGGGGACACUUCUGCCAUCAACAAACUGAUUGCAGAGCAACCAUCUACAUCAGAUGUUGUUUCCCCCUCUUUCGACCCAGAGGGAGUUCCCCCGGAUGCAAAAUCUGUGCUCCAAACCCCAAUGAUUCAAGUACCAGGACACUCAGGUCCCAUACUUGUUUUCCUGGGACUGAUACGGACAUUAGAGCUGCAAUGGCUCAUCUCCCGCCGAUACAGCACUCGGGAAGACUGUUUGCUGAAGCAUUCAUGGACUUCUGUAAGCAAUUCCUGCCCAACUUUGCUGAAAUUCGACGUGUUCUAAUGAGUCACGUGGGUCCGACUCACUACCAGAAGCUCAACCAGCUGGUUGCAGGAGACACCAGUGCGGCCGACGUUGAAUGGAGUUCAAAUCAAAAUAAGCCGUACAGAGACGCACUCACGGCUUUGAGCGACGGCAUAAAGACUUUGUUCCCUGACAAAGUGGAUAUGACUCCCAUCAACAAUACCAAGCAGGCAGCGGGGACAUUGGCACAGAGAAUGUCCACAAAAUGCAUCUCGUAGAGGAUGGGGGCGUGGACUGGCCAGACGAGGAAGGGGUGGCAUCGCACAUUCCGAUUGACGUGAGGCGGAGGGGGAGGAGGCUGCAUGUGAGGGGGAGACGGCAACCAUGCUGAGGCCUCACAUGAUAAGGGAAGUAAAACACACACACACACCAGCCUGCAAUGAAGAAACGCUUUCUGCACUAACUCCCUGCACGCACACGCACACUCACACACACACACCGGAGCAACAACAAGCUCUCGUGGACAUCACAGAGCAAUUGAGAACACAACAAAAGCUUUCACUUAAACACACAUAUGCAAAGUUUUCAGGAAAAUCAUUUGAAAAUAUGCCCACCACUAUGGUGCAAAUUCAAGGGAAACUUUUAUCGUUUUUGGUUGAUUCGGGGGCUACACAUUCUGUAAUACAACAGAAGUAUUUUCCAGGUCAGAAACUUAGUGGAAAACAGGUUUUCUCACAAGGAGCUUCAGGGAUGACUA